CAUUUUUCUUAUUAGUAUAUGUUUAGAUUGCCCUUAGAAAUAGAUUUUGUCUAAAUUUGGUAUGUUAGCCUGAGUAAAUUCAGGUGGUGCUGAAGCCUUAAACCCGUUCGGGGUAAAGACAUAAUUUAGAUGAAAAGCUAUAUUAUACGUUUAGAGUUGUAAUUUGUUUUGUUUGUGUAAACGUCAUAUCCGUUGUUGCCUGGUUACUUCGUGACGUCAUCAUUGUGUGCCAUAUUGUCAUAUCCCAACCCAUAGUGAUAGUCUCAUUUAAUUAUUUCAUUUGUUUAUAUUAUUUUAAAUUAUUUAUUUUUAUUAAUUUAAUUAGAUCUGUAUUUUUUUUCACUUAAUGAUAGAAAGUGCGGGUAGGAUUCUUUCAUUGUGAAUCAGACUAAAAUAAUUUUAGUUUGAGCGGUUAAAAUCAAAUAUGAUUUUGCCAUGAGAAUAAUGCCGAAACUGGCUAUGUAGUCAAACACUAUCGUCUGGCUAAAUUUAGAUCUGCAAAUUGUUGUACACCUCUUUGGUACAAUUAAAUCAUCUAGACUCUAAUUUGAAAUAUUAUUAAUUGAAAAAUGAAUGAAGAUUACUGCCAGUGAAGAACAUUUGUGACGUGUGACGUGCCCAUAAGAUGCCACAUUUUCUUUUAUGAUGAACUGUGUACUAGUGAAGAUGAUUUUGGAAUGUUAUGAACUGUUAUGAACAUUGACAUGAAUAUGAGAAACUGUCAAGAUGAAGAUGUCAAGAUGAAGAGAUCAAGAUUUUAUGUUUGUGGUCUUCCCCUUAAAUUGAAAAUGCCUUUGUAAGACUUGACAGUAGUGGAAAAAUAUUGACAUAUUUUUUUUUCAAGGGGGGGAGGAAUCUGUUAGACACCUUAUUUAUAUAGGUUAGUUAUUUUAGUUAUUUAGCGACGCACCAUAGUAGACGCAUAUUGAACGGGACUAGUGACGUUUGGGAUAUGUUGGGUUAGAGACCGGAAAAUCAGUUAGCGAUAGAACAUUCCGAGGGUAACGACGUGUUUAGUGACAGAGACUUCUACUGUGGCCUUUUAUCAGAAUAAAUCUAUGUGAACUUGUU
Molecule: long non-coding RNA, 1071 nt
Organism: Biomphalaria glabrata
Lineage: Eukaryota; Metazoa; Mollusca; Gastropoda; Planorbidae
Exons: 2
Source: RefSeq, a predicted model, not a curated record